AUACUAGCCUGGGUAGAAUUGUGGUGUAAAAACAAGACAAAAAGGAACCCCUGUUCCUCUGUCAGUUUAACAUCUGGGUUGUGCUGACCCCUGCGAAUUCCCCAAAUGUGGGAAUCUCGACUGCAUAAUUUAUGGUAGUGGGGGACUGCGUUCGCGCUCUCCCCUG
Pimephales promelas (fathead minnow) is the source of this 166-nucleotide non-coding RNA. Lineage: Eukaryota; Metazoa; Chordata; Actinopteri; Cypriniformes; Leuciscidae. The record is from RefSeq and is a predicted model, not a curated record.